AGGUGUUACAGCUCUUUCAGAAUUUGUCUAGUAUGUUUUCUGAUUUUCACUCCCAGGUAGGCUCGGGAAGAGGCAUCU
Molecule: small nuclear RNA, 78 nt
Organism: Gorilla gorilla gorilla (western lowland gorilla)
Lineage: Eukaryota; Metazoa; Chordata; Mammalia; Primates; Hominidae
Gene: U7
Rfam family: U7 small nuclear RNA
About the family: Animal histone pre-mRNAs are spliced by a different mechanism than nuclear pre-mRNAs and self-splicing introns. This processing involves the U7 snRNP, which contains only one RNA species: U7.
Source: Ensembl